This is a long non-coding RNA of Aegilops tauschii subsp. strangulata, 1012 nucleotides long. RefSeq lists it as uncharacterized. The record is from RefSeq and is a predicted model, not a curated record. Lineage: Eukaryota; Viridiplantae; Streptophyta; Magnoliopsida; Poales; Poaceae.
UAUGGACCCAUUCUCUCGGCCGACAGGAAAAAGAGGUCUAUCCCUUCGAGCGCCGCAAGAGCUGUCAAGAGCAGAACUAUGGCGAUGCCGUAGGAGGGGGGCGACGGGAUUCGAAUCUCUAGCAGAUCCAAUCGACUGAUUUCCAUUGCCGGAUCUCGCCGCGGCCGAAUACUUGCUGCGCGACGAAGUAAAUCAAUCUCUGUUGUGCGCGGUCGCUCAAUCCAGCAAUAGUGGUGCCGGCGAGACGGCGGUAACAGUACAAGAAGAAUUUGACCACAGUUUCAAAAGGGGUGCCCUGUCGAAUUCAGAGCAGUCAACAGACAAAGACGAUGGACACGCACCUGACUCGUCGAGCAGGUUUCAGUUGCCAGAGGUCACCAUCUGUCAACAGUUAGUGAACGGCGAAGCAAGCCAAACUUUGGUAUGCACAGCCGCUGAAUCCGGCAUCGGUGAUGUGGGUGAUCCACCGCCCACAAUACAAGUAGACAUCAACAGCACUUGCAAUGGAAUGGCCCUGUCCCUUCCGACCUCAGAACAAUCGACAGGCAAAGACGAUCCUCAAGCACCUGGCUGGACCAAAAGGUAUACAAUUGUGGAUGUGUGUUUCUGUUUCAAGGAUAUGACAAUUUUGAGUGGGCUGUAUAUUUACAUUCCUCCAAAUUUCACUGAGAAGUACUGAUUUUCCUGUAAAGUAGUACAAGGCUGCUGCUAGACAUCGAUACGUUGUGUUUUGUGAUUACACACUACUAGAAACCAAAAAAAACUGUUUCUAGAAUAACAUGUAGCUGUAUGAUGCAGGGUACGUGUAGGGCACACACCUAUUUAUAUUCCUCCAAAAGUUGUUCUGUAUAUCGUCGAGAAAAUAGCUGUGGAGACAAUUUUCCUUAGUUUGUUUAUUUCCACAUUCUGUUGUUGAGGGCCAAAAAAUAGAAAUUUGUGUAAUAAAACCUGUUGAAGGUACACUGCUAUCUGUUGUACUUGUUAACUUGCCAACAUGUUGUACGCUUGUGAA